Long non-coding RNA from Daphnia carinata, 691 nucleotides. RefSeq lists it as uncharacterized. The transcript has 2 exons. The record is from RefSeq and is a predicted model, not a curated record. Lineage: Eukaryota; Metazoa; Arthropoda; Branchiopoda; Diplostraca; Daphniidae.
CAUCUUUGACGUAGCAUCAGCAGCUACAGUUCGUCGUGCAACAAUGGAGUUGAAGUGCUGCGCCGUACUACACCACGACGUAUACAGCCCCCACUUACUACAGUACAAAGUCGGGAGUACUACACCACAACAUAUGCGGCUCCUACUUACUACUCGGAGGCCCCGAAAUACUACGCCGCAGCAAGCUAUUACGCAGAGGCGCUAAUGUAUUUACACAACAACGUACGCCACUCCAACAUACUACAUCGCAGCUGCGCCGUCUUAUUACGCUGAAGCUCCAAAAUCCUACGCUGCUCCAAGUUACUACACAGCGGUUGCCCCUUCGUACUACGUAGAACCUAGCUACUACACCACAACUUAUGCUGCCCCGCCUUACUACACCACAAAAGCGCCAGAGUACUACAUUACCACUUAUACGCCGCUCCCAGGUACUACACCGAGGCUCCAGCUGAUUACACAACAACGUACGCCACUCUCAGCUAUUACGCUGAGCGACCAAAGGAUUAUUAAUUGUAAAAAUUGUGCUGUCCAUCAAGCUUGAUGACGGGAUGGUUAGAUCUUGUUUUAUUAUUUGCUGUCCCCGUUCCAAGAUGAAUUAUUACCCUUCCAUGUAUUUAUCUAUAACUAGCCGUUGCAUACGUAUGUUGUUUCUAAAUGAGAUGUUGAAUACAGCCAUAAUGUCGUUACCGAA